Daktulosphaira vitifoliae (grape phylloxera) is the source of this 805-nucleotide long non-coding RNA. RefSeq lists it as uncharacterized. The record is from RefSeq and is a predicted model, not a curated record. NCBI's taxonomy places the organism in Eukaryota, Metazoa, Arthropoda, Insecta, Hemiptera, Phylloxeridae. The transcript is spliced from 3 exons.
UACAGCAUAUUGUAUAUAAUUUAAUGUGUUAAAUUUAUUUAGUUAUCACAAAACUGUAUAUGUUUAAAUAUAAAUUCCAUGGAACUUAACAUGCGCGAAAACGAGACAUAAAUGUAAUAUUUUAUCUAUUUCAAAAGUAAUUAGACGAUCAACUGUCAUUUUUAUCAUUAACACAGAAGAACAUAUCAUAAAUUAAAUUUCAUUGCAUUUUUUUAAUCAAUGCAAGUAUAUAAAGUCUUGGAUCUGUUUAUUCAUUCGAAAGAAUUAUAAGAGUGCAGUAGUUUGUUCUAACAACCAGAUUUUGCGCAAAGAAAUUUGUUGUAGUUACAUUUUUCGUUUGAUAAAAAUUAAACUAUUUUAUAUCCACUAGCGAUUACUUGCUGUUUCAAUUGCAUUUCGACGAACGGAAAACUUAUACUGUAACGAAUACUUGUUGCAUCAACUGCAUUUUGAGGAAUAAAUAAAUAAUUAAAAUGGAUGUUGUAAAAAAACUUAAGUCACAAGCUAAAAAUGAAUAUGUCUCUAUGUCAUCAUUACAAUUGGAUCGUCCAUAUCCAGUAACACAGCUGAGAGCUGUUGAAACCAGGUAUGGACACUCCAUAAUUGCACGAUUGGAAAAUGGUUGCCAGUUAUGUCUACCAAAAUCUAUAUUUCUUUUCGAUGAAGAAAUAGUGCAUUUUAAUAGCAGUGAAAAAAAAUUAUGUUUAAUAUAUCACGGAAAACGUGGUAAAGCAUAUAACUUUUCUUUUAUAUAAUUCAAAAAAUAAUAUAACGUUCAUAAUUUUUUUACAAACAAUUAACAAUA